This is a long non-coding RNA of Balaenoptera musculus (blue whale), 558 nucleotides long. RefSeq lists it as uncharacterized. Lineage: Eukaryota; Metazoa; Chordata; Mammalia; Artiodactyla; Balaenopteridae. The transcript is spliced from 3 exons. The record is from RefSeq and is a predicted model, not a curated record.
ACGGUGGGGGUCUGGGGGAUGCUGGCAUGUAGACGAACCUCAUCAUUCAAAGCUGUUUUCCCAGCACCAGCUGGGGCAGCUGCGUCCUUCUCUCCAACUUCCUGAGGCUUCCCUGAGUCACUGCCCAGCUCCAAGGCUGGCAACACCCUUCCCCUGCUCUCCCAUCCACCCUUCCCUCGGCAAGAGGGGAGGAGGAAGAAACCUGAAGGGAUCUGAUGCUCCCCCCAUCCCAGAUGCAGUUCCACAUCCUCCCCUCCAGCCUCAGGAUGGCCGACCUUCGAGCCUCCCUCCUGGCCUGGAAAGGAAGGCAGAGGAUCGUCCCGCUCUCAGCAGCAUCUGAGAUGAGCAGGACGGCUCCAGGCAGUGGAUCUAUGCCCUGGCCCCAUCCCCAGUGACAGCCCAUCUUCCACCUCUGAGACAGCGAAGAGCGGUUGUCUGGCUGCAGCAGGUACCCUUCCACACAGCCACACGUGAAGGAACCAUCUGUGUUGGUGCACAGCUGGCUGCAGGUGCCAUAAACCGAGCACUCGUCAAAGUCUGCCGGGAAAAGGCGAGAGC